GAUGAAGAACGUAGCGAAAUGCGAUAAGUAAUGUGAAUUGCAGAAUUCAGUGAAUCAUCGAAUCUUUGAACGCACAUUGCGCCCCUUGGUAUUCCGAGGGCCAUGCCUGUUCGAGCGUCAUUAUAACCCCUCAAGCUCAGCUUGGUGUUGGGGCCUGCUGCACUGGCAGCCCUUAAAAUCAGUGGCGGCGCCAUCUGGCUCUAAGCGUAGUAAUUCUUCUCGCUAUGGAGUCCUGGUGGAUGCUUGCCAUCAACCCCCAAUUUUUCUAUGGUUGACCUCGGAUCAGGUAGGGAUACCCGCUGAACUUAAGCAUAUCAAUAAGCGGAGGA
Molecule: unclassified non-coding RNA, 329 nt
Filed under: soil metagenome
Description: partial contains 5.8S ribosomal RNA, internal transcribed spacer 2, and large subunit ribosomal RNA
Rfam family: 5.8S ribosomal RNA (bases 1-120)
Source: RNAcentral